UCGAUUAGCAUGCGAGUCGAGAGGUGCAAGACCUCGGCGCACUGCUCAGUAACACCUGUGACAACCUACCCUGUGGAGGGGGAUAACCCCGGAAAACUGGGGAUAAUACCCCAUAGGUUAGGGAGGCUGGAAUGCCCCCUAGCUCAAAGGUCCGCCGCCACAGGAUGGGUCUGCGGCCGAUUAGGUUGUUGUUGGGGUAACGGCCCAACAAGCCUUUGAUCGGUACGGGUUGUGGGAGCAAGAGCCCGGAGAUGGAUUCUGAGACACGAAUCCAGGCCCUACGGGGCGCAGCAGGCGCGAAAACUUUACAAUGCGAGAAAUCGUGAUAAGGGAACCCCGAGUGCCCGUAAAUUCGGGCUGUCCGCCAGUGCAAAAAACUGGUGAAG
This 386-nucleotide ribosomal RNA is filed under the name uncultured methanogenic archaeon. RNAcentral describes it as "bacterial SSU rRNA". It matches the Rfam family "Archaeal small subunit ribosomal RNA", at positions 40 to 435 of the family's 1478-position model. The record is from RNAcentral. Lineage: Archaea; Methanobacteriati; Methanobacteriota.